UGCCAAUCACAUGUGUGCCUCACCACUAC
RNAcentral lists this non-coding RNA (29 nucleotides) under Mus musculus (house mouse). The record is from RNAcentral. Lineage: Eukaryota; Metazoa; Chordata; Mammalia; Rodentia; Muridae.